This 465-nucleotide ribosomal RNA is filed under the name Vreelandella stevensii. RNAcentral's name for it is "partial 16S ribosomal RNA". It matches the Rfam family "Bacterial small subunit ribosomal RNA", at positions 338 to 795 of the family's 1533-position model. The record is from RNAcentral. Lineage: Bacteria; Pseudomonadati; Pseudomonadota; Gammaproteobacteria; Oceanospirillales; Halomonadaceae.
CCUACGGUGUGCAGCAGUGGGGAAUAUUGGACAAUGGGCGAAAGCCUGAUCCAGCCAUGCCGCGUGUGUGAAGAAGGCCUUCGGGUUGUAAAGCACUUUCAGUGGGGAAGAAAGCCUUGGGGCUAAUACCCUCGAGGAAGGACAUCACCCACAGAAGAAGCACCGGCUAACUCCGUGCCAGCAGCCGCGGUAAUACGGAGGGUGCGAGCGUUAAUCGGAAUUACUGGGCGUAAAGCGCGCGUAGGCGGUCUGAUAAGCCGGUUGUGAAAGCCCCGGGCUCAACCUGGGAACGGCAUCCGGAACUGUCAGGCUAGAGUGCAGGAGAGGAAGGUAGAAUUCCCGGUGUAGCGGUGAAAUGCGUAGAGAUCGGGAGGAAUACCAGUGGCGAAGGCGGCCUUCUGGACUGACACUGACGCUGAGGUGCGAAAGCGUGGGUAGCAAACAGGAUUAGAUACCCGAGUAGUC